RNAcentral lists this ribosomal RNA (372 nucleotides) under uncultured bacterium. Its description in RNAcentral is "bacterial SSU rRNA". It matches the Rfam family "Bacterial small subunit ribosomal RNA", at positions 28 to 396 of the family's 1533-position model. The record is from RNAcentral.
GACGAACGCUGGCGGCGUGCUUAAUACAUGCAAGUCAACUUGACUUUAGAUAGCAAUAUCGAAAGGUAGGGUGGCGCACGGGUGCGUAACGCGUAGGUAAUCUGCCCUGAGGUCUGACAUAACCCGUCGAAAGGCGGGCUAACAUCAGAUGAUAUAUAAUCACGACAUUCGUGGAAAAUAUCAAAUCUUCGGAGCCUUGGGAUGAGCCUGCGUCUGAUUAGGGUAGUUGGCGGAGUAAUAGCCCACCAAGCCUACGAUCAGUAGCUGGUCUGAGAGGAUGAUCAGCCACACUGGAACUGAGACACGGUCCAGACUCCUACGGGAGGCAGCAGUAAGGAUAUUGCUCAAUGGGGAAACCCUGAAGCAGCAACG